AGGGUUCGAUUCUGGCUCAGGAUGAAUGCUGGCGGCAUGCCUAAUACAUGCAAGUCGAGCGGUAACAGGACUAGCUUGCUAGUUGCUGACGAGCGGCGGACGGCUGAGUAACGCAUGGGAACGCACCCAAACUGAGGGAUAACUAGUCGAAAGAUUAGCUAAUACCGCAUGUGAUCUUCGGAUUAAAGCCUUCGGGCGGUUUGGGAGCGGCCUGUGUACGAUUAGAUAGUUGGUGAGGUAAUGGCUCACCAAGUCGACGAUCGUUAGAUGGUUUGAGAGGAUGAUCAUCCAGACUGGAACUGAGACACGGCCCAUACUCCUACGGGAGGCAGCAGUAGGGAAUUUUGCGCAAUGGGCGAAAGCCUGACGCAAGCAACGCCGCGUGAUUGAAUAAGCCCUUCGGGGUGUAAAGAUCUGUCAGUGGGGACGAAACUUGACGGUACCCACAGAGGAAGCAUCGGCUAACUCCGUGCCAGCAGCCGC
This 483-nucleotide ribosomal RNA is filed under the name uncultured bacterium. RNAcentral's name for it is "bacterial SSU rRNA". It matches the Rfam family "Bacterial small subunit ribosomal RNA", at positions 8 to 518 of the family's 1533-position model. The record is from RNAcentral.